CCUAGCAUCCCAGAAGGUAAGAAUAGAGGCUCCUCCAGCCCCAUGUCCUCGUUGAUUGUCAUGGUUAUCCACAAAGACAAGCGCUCUGUCAGAAGGUAAGUAUAGAGGCUCCUCCAGCGCCAUGUCCUCGUUGAUUGUCAUGGUUAUCCACAAAGACAAGCGCUCUGUCAGAAGGCAUGAAACCCCAACCUUCUCCCCAGUUCCUAUUUUUGAAACAUAAGAUAUACGUUGAUGUAUCAUUUCACAAUAGUUUGAGAGU
This 259-nucleotide long non-coding RNA is filed under the name Homo sapiens (human). RNAcentral's name for it is "HSALNT0011746". Lineage: Eukaryota; Metazoa; Chordata; Mammalia; Primates; Hominidae. The record is from RNAcentral.